AGUGGCGCACGGGUGAGUAUACCAUAGAUAAUGUACCUCUUAGUUCGGGAUAGCCACUGGAAACGGUGAUUAAUACCGGAUACUCCUUCUUAUUAUAAGAUAAGUCGGGAAAGUUUUUUCGCUAAGAGAUCAGUCUAUGUCCCAUCAGUUUGUUGGUGAGGUAAUGGCUCACCAAGACUAUGACGGGUAUCUGGUUUGAGAGGAUGAUCAGACACACUGGAACUGAGACACGGUCCAGACUCCUACGGGAGGCAGCAGUGAGGAAUAUUGCACAAUGGAGGAAACUCUGAUGCAGCAACGCCGCGUGGAGGAUGACGCAUUUCGGUGUGUAAACUCCUUUUAAGAGGGAAGAUAAUGACGGUACCUCUUGAAUAAGCACCGGCUAACUCCGUGCCAGCAGCCGCGGUAAUACGGAGGGUGCAAGCGUUACUCGGAAUCACUGGGCGUAAAGGGUGCGUAGGCUGGCUUCUAAGUCAGAUGUGAAAUCCAAUGGCUCAACCAUUGAACUGCAUUUGAAACUGGGAGCCUAGAGUUCAGAAGGGGCAGAUGGAAUUAGUGGUGUAGGGGUAAAAUCCGUAGAUAUCACUAGGAAUAUCAAAAGCGAAGGCGAUCUGCUGGGAUGAUACUGACGCUGAGGCACGAAAGCGUGGGGAGCAAACAGGAUUAGGUACCCUGGUAGUCCACGCCCUAAACGAUGAAUACUAGUCGUCGGGGAGCUCGUCUCUUCGGUGAUGCACUUAACAGAUUAAGCAUUCCGCCUGGGGAGUACGGUCGCAAGAUUAAAACUCAAAGGAAUAGACGGGGACCCGCACAAGUGGUGGAGCAUGUGGUUUAAUUCGAAGAUACACGAAGAACCUUACCUGGCCUUGACAUGGUAGGAACCCUUAAGAGAUUAGGGGGUGCUAGCUUGCUAGAACCUACACACAGGUGCUGCACGGCUGUCGUCAGCUCGUGUCGUGAGAUGUUGGGUUAAGUCCCGCAACGAGCGCAACCCUCGUCCUUAGUUGCUAACAGUUUGGCUGAGCACUCUAGGGAGACUGCCUUCGUAAGGAGGAGGAAGGUGAGGACGACUUCAAGUCAUCAUGGCCCUUACGGCCAGGGCUACACACNUGCUACAAUGGGGCGUACANAGAGCUGCAAUACCNCGAGGUGGAGCCAAUCUCUUAAAGCGUCUCUCANUUCGGAUUGUUCUCUGCAACUC
Molecule: ribosomal RNA, 1201 nt
Filed under: uncultured Campylobacterota bacterium
Lineage: Bacteria; Pseudomonadati; Campylobacterota
Description: bacterial SSU rRNA
Rfam family: Bacterial small subunit ribosomal RNA
Source: RNAcentral